AUUGAACGCUGGCGGCAGGCCUAACACAUGCAAGUCGAACGAUAACAGGAAACAGUUUGCUGUUUCGCUUACGCGUGGCGGGGGGGUGAGUAAUGUCUGGGACACUCCCUGAUGGAGGGGGAAAACUACUGGAAACGGUAGCUAAUCCCGCAAAACGUCGCAACACCAAAGUGGAGGACCUUCGGGCGUCUUGCCAUCGGCUGUGCCCAGAUGGGAUUAGCUAGUAGGUGGGGUAACGGCUUACCUAGGCGACGAUCCCUAGCUGGUCUGAGAGGGUGAGCAGCCACACUGGAACUGAGACACGGUCCAGACUCCUACGGGAGGCAGCAGUAGGGAAUAUUGCGCAAUGGGCGAAAGCCUGACGCAGCAACGCCGCGUGUGUGAUGAAGGUCUUCGGAUUGUAAAGUUCUGUUAGCAGGGAGGAAGAGAGGAGUAAGUAAAUCUGCACGUAUUGACGGUACCCAAAGAAAAAGCAACGGCUAACUACGUG
Molecule: ribosomal RNA, 490 nt
Filed under: uncultured bacterium
Lineage: Bacteria
Description: partial 16S ribosomal RNA
Rfam family: Bacterial small subunit ribosomal RNA
Source: RNAcentral